AUUGAACGCUGGCGGCAGGCCUAACACAUGCAAGUCGAACGGUAACAGGAAGCAGCUUGCUGCUUUGCUGACGAGUGGCGGACGGGUGAGUAAUGUCUGGGAAACUGCCUGAUGGAGGGGGAUAACUACUGGAAACGGUAGCUAAUACCGCAUAAUGUCGCAAGACCAAAGAGGGGGACCUUCGGGCCUCUUGCCAUCGGAUGUGCCCAGAUGGGAUUAGCUAGUAGGUGGGGUAAAGGCUCACCUAGGCGACGAUCCCUAGCUGGUCUGAGAGGAUGACCAGCCAGACUGGAACUGAGACACGGUCCAGACUCCUACGGGGGGAAGCAGUGGAGAAUAUUGCACGAUGGGGGAAUGCCUGAUGCAGCAAUGCCGCGUGUAUGAAGAAGCACUUCGGGUUGUAAAAUACUUUCAGCGUGGAGGAAGUAAGUAAAGUUAAUACCUGUGCUCAUUGACGUUACCCGCCGAAGAAGCACCGGCUAACUCCGUG
Molecule: ribosomal RNA, 490 nt
Filed under: uncultured bacterium
Lineage: Bacteria
Description: partial 16S ribosomal RNA
Rfam family: Bacterial small subunit ribosomal RNA
Source: RNAcentral